This 81-nucleotide transfer RNA is filed under the name Cutaneotrichosporon oleaginosum. Its description in RNAcentral is "Trichosporon oleaginosus tRNA". It matches the Rfam family "tRNA". Rfam says of the family: Transfer RNA (tRNA) molecules are approximately 80 nucleotides in length. Their secondary structure includes four short double-helical elements and three loops (D, anti-codon, and T loops). The record is from Rfam by way of RNAcentral. Lineage: Eukaryota; Fungi; Basidiomycota; Tremellomycetes; Trichosporonales; Trichosporonaceae.
GGGCGUGUAGCUCAGUUGGUAGAGCGUUCCAUUCGCAUAAGUGAUUUGGAAAGGUCUUUGGUUCGAUUCCUAACUCGUCCA